Molecule: ribosomal RNA, 462 nt
Filed under: uncultured bacterium
Lineage: Bacteria
Description: partial 16S ribosomal RNA
Rfam family: Bacterial small subunit ribosomal RNA
Source: RNAcentral
GACGAACGCUGGCGGCGUGCUUAACACAUGCAAGUCGAGCGGAAAGGCCCUUCGGGGUCCUCGAGCGGCGAACGGGUGAGUAACACGUGAGUAACCUGCCCUAGUCUUUGGGAUAACCCCGGGAAACCGGGGCUAAUACCGGAUAUGACCUGGUGCCGCAUGGGGUUGGGUGGCAAGUCUUUUCGGCCGGGGAUGGGCUCGCGGCCUAUCAGCUUGUUGGUGGAGUGAUGGCGUACCAAGUCGAUGACGGGUAGCCGGCAUGGGAGGGCGAACGGCCACACUGGGACUGAGCGACGGCCGAGACUCCUACGGGAGGCAGCAGUAGGAAAUAUUGCCCAACGGGCGGAAGCCUGAGGCAACGGCGCCGUGUGAGAGAUGAAGGACUUCGGGUUGUAAACCUCUUUCAGAAGGGACGAAGCGUGAGUGACGGUACCUGCAGAAGAAGCGACGGCCAACUACGUG